ACAGAAGUGAGAUGACCGUUUGGAAAGUGUUGCAAUAGGACACACACAUUGUGCCACCGCUGUGGCGUGAAGGCCUACCACCUUCAGAAGUUGACCUGUGGCAAAUGUGGCUACCCCGCCAAGUGCAGGAGGACGUAUAACUGGAGUGCCAAGGCUAAAAGACAAAAUGCCACCAGGACUGGCCGAACGAGGCACCUAAAAAUUGUACACCACAGAUUCAGGCAUGGACUCCGUGAGGAAACAACACCUAAACCAAAGAGGGCAGCUGUUGGAGCACUUUGAUCAG
This 286-nucleotide long non-coding RNA is filed under the name Homo sapiens (human). RNAcentral describes it as "non-protein coding lnc-DNAJC11-3:1". Lineage: Eukaryota; Metazoa; Chordata; Mammalia; Primates; Hominidae. The record is from RNAcentral.